Molecule: ribosomal RNA, 245 nt
Filed under: uncultured bacterium
Lineage: Bacteria
Description: partial 16S ribosomal RNA
Rfam family: Bacterial small subunit ribosomal RNA
Source: RNAcentral
AUGGCGACCGGCGCACGGGUGAGUAACACGUAUCCAACCUGCCGAUAACUCGGGGAUAGCCUUUCGAAAGAAAGAUUAAUACCCGAUGGUAUAAUCAGACCGCAUGGUUUGAUUAUUAAAGAAUUUCGGUUAUCGAUGGGGAUGCGUUCCAUUAGGCAGUUGGUGAGGUAGCGGCUCACCAAACCUUCGAUGGAUAGGGGUUCUGAGAGGAAGGUCCCCCACAUUGGAACUGAGACACGGUCCAA